CUGGUCAAAAAUUCUUGGUGCACUUAGUCCAAAUAGCAUAACCUUUACUUCAUUUCUGAUUACCAUGUUUGGACAUGAAAUUUUGCAUAAAAUGGUUUAUGCAAAAUUUCAUGUCCAAA
Molecule: non-coding RNA, 119 nt
Organism: Paramuricea clavata
Lineage: Eukaryota; Metazoa; Cnidaria; Anthozoa; Malacalcyonacea; Plexauridae
Source: the annotation of a GenBank genome assembly